Hirundo rustica (Barn swallow) is the source of this 1799-nucleotide long non-coding RNA. RefSeq lists it as uncharacterized. The record is from RefSeq and is a predicted model, not a curated record. Lineage: Eukaryota; Metazoa; Chordata; Aves; Passeriformes; Hirundinidae. The transcript is spliced from 3 exons.
GUGGGGUGCAGCUCCUUGCUGGUGCUCAGCUCCUACCAGCACCCUCUGUCCUUGGAAAAAAAUCCACCAGGGGCCUUCCCUGGCUCUGGUGAUGUGCAAAGGGAGGGAGCUGGGCUGCAAUCAUCUCCUCUCCUCAAGCCAGUAGGAGCAGGAGGUGCACCAAGAAAAGGCAUGAGUGGAGUUGGGAUGGGCUGCUGUGCCCAGCAGAUGCCCUGAGCAAUGCUGGGAGGGGGUUUGGUGAGCAGAGCAGCCUCUUGUCUCUUGAGUGGGGCUGGGGAGAACGAGGGUGAAGAAGCACCAGAAAUAGGGAGCAGCUCAAACUUUGUUGGAGCAGAGGCUCUGGAGGUGUGAAGGAGGAGGAGGAGGAGAGGGAAACAACUCUUCAUCCGGGCUCUGAAGUUGGCUUUUAACAGGGAGAAGAGGCAAGCAGGGGGCCCUGGCUGCAGUUUGGGUGUUGUGAAUGUCGGUUGAUUUGCCAUAACCAGCUCUCACCUGGAGUCACGGAGACCUGGAAGCAAAGGCCUGCCCCUCAAACCAUCUCUCAGCACUUUCUGAGAGGACCUGGAAACAUCUUCUGAGCAAGAAAACUCCAUCUUUCAUCUCCAGCCACCCAGAUCUGCAAAGUCAGCCUGGUGCCAAGCGAUGUGCCAGGACAGAUGCCAGCCUGUGACCGAGCAGGACCGGCGUGUUGUUGAGAUCCGCCUGAUGUGUCCCCAGCCCUGUGCCAGGGCUUGGCCCUUGUGCUGGGAGCGGCGGGCAUGGCUGUGACACACAGACACCAGAGCCCUCUCAAGCACCGCCAGCUGCUUUAUGGGCUGCUUGGAAACAGUUGGAAAGGCCUGUAAUGCCAGCGCUCAGUGUUAGUUACUGCUGAUGCAGCUGGGAGAGGAAAUAAGGGGGAAUUGCAGCUCUGAAAGAUGUUGUGGGCAUCUCUGGUCCAACAUCAAGGGUGGGUUUGUGGAGCACAAGGCAGCUGUGGCUCAGGAGGGGAAAGCAGAAGGUCUGCGGGACUCCUCCAUGCUGGGAGAUGAUUGUGAGCAGCGUGGAGCAUGUUGGAGGGAAAGUGCUGCAGGUUGUGGUCUGAAAUGUAUUUCACGAGUGAGUCAAAGAAAGCUGCACUAACCCCAUGGCUGCCCUGCCUCCUGCUGAGCUGCUGGCUGAAGCUGCUUCCCAUCCAAGGAUGGACUGGGGUGGAUCCAUCCAGUAUGUGCUGGUGAUCCCUUGCUGUUAGCUGGAGGAGGGCUCUGGACGACGUGUCGGAUCUGAAGCCUUUGAGGGGGGAUCCAGAUGGUGUCUGCAUCCCUUGCUUAUCUGGCUAAAAAUAAAGAACUUUAGAAAAAUCUGAGUCUUCCUUUCCCACUGCAAAUUCCCCAUUCUGGAUUCUUUGGAAGGGGUGGAGGUGUUUGUGUUCCUGCAGGUUCCCCGGGAAGUGCUCCUGCCAUGGGCAGAAGGUGCCAAGGGCGGUGCAGACGCUCCGAGGGGGAGUCUCUGUGUGAGGGAGCUGUGAGAGGUGCGAGCGGAGGGCAGAUGUGGUCACACAUCACCCGGGGUGUGUGCAGGGAGGAAACGGCAGCCGAGGGCAGAACAGACGCUUUGACCUUUCGGAGGAGCUGUCUGUGCGAGGUGGCUGGGGGGCAGUGAGCCAUUUAGCACAACAGCUGAGUCCUUGGGCUGAGCCACGCGAGGACUGUCCCAGCAGAGGAGCCGCUUCUCCCUAGAAGGCUCCCAGGGUUCACGCUUAGAUGGUUCCUUUAAAGGUUAAUUCUCACCGGCAGCAUCUGGAAUAAAACUCGGAGUAC